GCCAGCAGACUGGAACCCGAGGACAUCACCUCGGAGCAGAGUGAUUCCUAUUGGCUGAUUCAGAGAGGGCUCCACAGUGGACGUCACAAUGCGGAAGUUGGACAGUGAGCUUCAGACGAAAACUUACUCCUGUGUCCAACAUCUGACAGCCUGUGGGAAACUGAUCCGGGAGUCUUCAGCGUGAGUUUGAGUGAUUCGAGUGGGACGGCGAGUGAAUGAUCAGCCAGCAGAGGGAUGAUGAUGCUAUGACUGAACAAAAUAAGCUCAGGAUAUUAGAAGGGGAGUAUUUGCAGACAGAAAUCUCAAACUAAACAUCACAUCACGAUCUGACAGACUCAGUCGAAUCAUCAGGACCUGAAUAUGAUCAACCUUUGAAUCUAGAAGGAGAAAUGUUUGUCUGUUUUGUCUGCUUCAAAUGGUUUUAAGCAUCAGAGUGACUGGAAAAGCACCGAGACACACAUAUCCGAGUGAGAGUGUUCCAGUGCACUGACUGUGGAAAGAGCUUGAACCAGUUCCUCAGCUUGAGAAAAACAUCACACCAUUCACAGCGGUGAGAGAGCGUACACUGUUCUGUGUGAGGACGAGGCUUCAACUAAUCGUAGAACCUGGAGAGACACAAGGACAUGCACACCAUGGAGAAACUGUGGAAAUGUGUGGACUGCAGGGAGGGAUUCAAAACCCCAUCUGUGUUGGAAACUCAUCAGUGCAGUCACACCGGGGAGAGGCCAUUCACCUGAGUGUGGGAAGGGAUUCACCCAGUCACCUCAUCUGCAGUCACACCAGUGAAUUCACACUGGGAAGAGUCCGUUCACAUGUUCUGAAUGUGGGAAGGACUUCAGGAAUACAUCCCAGCUGCGGAGACACCAGCGAGUUCACACUGGGGAGAGGCCAUUCACCUGCUCUGAGUGUGGGAAGGGAUUUUAUGGAUCAUCCCCCCUGCUGAUGCACAAGCGAGUUCACAGCGGGGAGUGGCCAUUCACCUGCUCUGAGUGUGGGAAGGGAUUCGCUCGGUCAUUCGACCUGCUGACACACCAGCGACUUCACAUUGGGGACUGGCUCAUUGUUCUGAAUGUGGAAAGAGAUUCACUCGGUCUUGUGAGCUGCUGGCACACCAGCAGGCUCACGCUGGGGAGAGGCCGUUCACCUGUUACGUGUGUGGGAAGGGAUUCACUCGGUCAUCCACCCUGCAGACACACCAGCGAGUUCACACUGGGGAGAGGCCAUUCACUUGCUCCAAGUCUGGGAAGGUUUUCACUCAGUCAUUCUACCUGCAGACACACCAGCGAGUUCACACCGGGGACUGGCUCCUCUGUUCUGAAUGUGGAAAGAGAUUCACUCGGUCUUACGACCUGCAGACACACCAGUGAGUUCACAUGGGGAGAGGCCGUUCACCUGUUACAUUUGUGGGAAGGGAUUCCCUCGGUCAUCCACCCUGCAGACACACCAGUGACUUCACACCAGGGAGAGGCCAUUCACCUCUUCGGAGUGUGGGAAGGGAUUCACUCGGUCAUCCGACCAGCUGAAACACAGCAAAUUCACACCAGGGAUAGGCCGUUCACCUGCUCCGAGUGUGGGAAGGGAUUCACUCGGUCGUCCACCCUGCAGAAACGCCAAUGAGUUCACGCCAGGGAGAAGCCAUUCACCUGCUCCGAGUGUGGGAAGCGAUUCAGUGAUACAUCCACCCUGCUGAGACACCAGCGAGUUCACACGAGGGACAAGACGUUUACAGACUCUGAGUGUGGGAAGAGAUUCACUUGUUCAUCUGAGCUGCUGACACACCGUGACAGUCACACUGAUUAGCGACCUUUUAGAUGCUCUGACUGUGGCUUUCGAUUGUGUGAAUUGAGGUUAAGUACAUACAGGUGGACAUCAUGGAUUGGAUAGUUACUUGAGCACAGAUAAAGAGACCCUUACUGACAUAGAGUGAAGUCGAGUCAGGAGGUAUAUACCUGUAAUGUUUCAUUCAGUGAAUAAAUCUAUACCAAGUAAAGAUUGGCUCCAGUUUCUUUCUUCACCAUCAGGCUGUUAGGAUUAUAACAUGGGAACAGAGAAUGCUUGUCUAAUGGUGAAGGCUGGAAACUAAAGGAAAAUUAAACUUCAGACAGAAACUUACAAGCUGAGUAGCUUUUGUGAGAAAUGGCUGAAAGCAAGUGAGAAUUGUCAGGGUCUGAUUACCUGCUGAUGUUCUCAAGAGUCUGAGCCACACGACCAGUGGAAGAAUGAAGUGGAUAUGUGGACAAGGGUUACGUCCCUACCAAGGAGGAAACAAAGUCUGGUCUUGGCAUUGUCACUUCCCAACAAAACUGAAAUCAGAAGCAAAGUAUUUAGUGAGCUAGCGCCUGUCAGCUGGAUACCGAUGAAGGUUUGGAUCUUCUAUUCAGGUUCAUUGAUGAGAUUUGAAGGAAAGAUGAUCUACUGGAUGCCUAUGAAGCAUAGAUGGACUUUGACAGGUUUCAAAUGAGGGUGAAAGCAUCUUUAGUAGAUCUGAAUAUCACAACAAAAGACAGGAUUGGAACAGCAUUAAUAGGUGAAUGAACCCCAGGAAUGACCAAGGCACAAUUAACAGGUGUUUCAGGUCAGACUCAAAAUAUCAUUAUGUGAUGAACAGCCCAAAAUGGAAAAUCAGGGUCUUUGAAGUGACACACGACACAGAGAAUUCUGAAGCUGAAGGUGAUGAUGAUGAUCACUCUGAAGGAAUUGUACUAGUCACAAGGAGCUUUGGUCCAGUGAUGAGUAUGUUAGUCACAGACUCAUUCAACUGUGCUGUGCACCUUGUCAGCAUGUGGAUUAGAUUGGUGAACACGUUACCCAAAUUCAUCUCGUACUGAGGAUCGACACAAGGUUAAGGAGUAUGAAAUUUAUACUUGUCUUUGUUUGGUGAUGUCAGUA
Long non-coding RNA from Carcharodon carcharias (great white shark), 2889 nucleotides. RefSeq lists it as uncharacterized. The transcript is spliced from 3 exons. Lineage: Eukaryota; Metazoa; Chordata; Chondrichthyes; Lamniformes; Lamnidae. The record is from RefSeq and is a predicted model, not a curated record.